RNAcentral lists this transfer RNA (91 nucleotides) under Sus scrofa (pig). It matches the Rfam family "tRNA". From Rfam's summary of the family: Transfer RNA (tRNA) molecules are approximately 80 nucleotides in length. Their secondary structure includes four short double-helical elements and three loops (D, anti-codon, and T loops). The record is from Rfam by way of RNAcentral. Lineage: Eukaryota; Metazoa; Chordata; Mammalia; Artiodactyla; Suidae.
UCUCUGGUGGCUCAGCGGGUAAGGGUCCAGCAUUGUCACUACUGUGGCUUGGGUCACUGCUGUGGCACAGGUUCAAUCCCUGGCCUGGGAA